RNAcentral lists this ribosomal RNA (497 nucleotides) under uncultured archaeon. Its description in RNAcentral is "bacterial SSU rRNA". It matches the Rfam family "Archaeal small subunit ribosomal RNA", at positions 93 to 593 of the family's 1478-position model. The record is from RNAcentral.
GUAACACGUAGUCAACAUGCCCAGGGGACGUGGAUAACCUCGGGAAACUGAGGAUAAACCGCGAUAGGUCACUACUUCUGGAAUGGGUAAUGACUCAAACCUAUAUGGCCCCUGGAUUGGACUGCGGCCGAUCAGGCUGUUGGUGAGGUAAUGGCCCACCAAACCUGUAACCGGUACGGGCUCUGAGAGGGGGAGCCCGGAGAUGGGCACUGAGACAAGGGCCCAGGCCCUAUGGGGCGCAGCAGGCGCGAAACCUCUGCAAUAGGCAAAAGCCUGACAGGGUUACUCUGAGUGAUCUCCGUUAAGGAGAUCUUUUGGCACCUCUAAAAAUGGUGCAGAAUAAGGGGUGGGCAAGUCUGGUGUCAGCCGCCGCGGUAAUACCAGCACCCCGAGUGGUCGGGACGUUUAUUGGGCCUAAAGCAUCCGAAGCCGGUUCUACAAGUCUUCCGUUAAAUCCAGCUGCUUAACAGAUGGGCUGCGGAAGAUACUAUGGAGCU